UGCCAAUAGCAUCCCAUUCAUUUCAAAUCGCGGGUUUUUCUCUUUUCAUGUAGAAAUAGAUGAAGGAAAUCCAUAAUUUCCUGCAGCAACUCUGCAUCCCGUUUAUGCCAAAGAUCAAUGGGCAGAUGACCUAGAUUUUAAUUUCCUUCCGACAAGCUUCAGUUUUUGACUUGAAAUCCAUGGAAUUGGGGAGAUUCUUCAAAGAUGUUGAUUGAACCACAAUGGAAGCAGCUCAAGUCAAUCCUUCGCAGACUCAUUCAAAACGCUCUGAAAAAUGGAUACCAGUUCAUGCCUGGUUAGAAUCAUUGGACAAGAAGGGGGUUGUUAGAUCCAGAGAAAUUUCUAAUUGGCUGUCUCAGAAUCCUUUGGUAAAAGAACAGCUGUAUUCAAGGUAUUCUCACUAUCACUUGAUGCACUACGUCCAGAAAUGUCAUUCAAGAAUCUUAAAGCGGCGAGACAAGGGAAAGGGCAACAUCAAAGAACUACAGCCAAGAGAGUAUUUUGGAGAGAAAGAGGAGAGAAGGGUAAUGAACAGAAAUUCUGUUACUGAACAGCAGUAAUGUACUGCCCAAGGGAGAAUAGGGAGAGGAGAGGGAAAGAAGAAAGAAGAAGGAAGAGAGGAGGAAGAAGGAGAUACAGUUCAAUGCAAGUGUUCCUGUAAUGGUUAAAGACAAUGGGGUGAAGAUGGUUCGAGUUCUGCUUUCAGCCUUAAUUUGGUUUCCUUCACAUUACGCACUAGUGACAUAACAUCUCACGGAUGCUGAUAUGAGUCACUGUUCAGUUUGGCUACGCGACAUUUGGUACGCACAAUCUCUGAUACUGAAAUGCUAACUAUGGUCCUGAUGGUACUUUCUAGCACAAAUUAGUGUUUAAAUAGCCAUAGAAAGCAAAACUCUUUUCUGAGCCUUUAAGUUGAUUUGUGAAGGCAUUGUAUUGUGCAACUCUUUACUCAAGCUCAGUUGUAUCUGAUAAUUGAUUAUGAUCUUCUCUAAUUUCCAAUGUGGGCAGUAGAUUAAAUUACUGUAACUUCUGUGAUACCCGUUGUUGCAAAUUCAGUGAAGAGGCUGCCCUCUUUGGUUUUUGCAUGCGUACAGACUACGGCUUGCUUCAAGACCUAAAAAUAGAAGAAAAGAUGUUAUUGCCUUCAACAUUCACUAGCACGUGACCGUGAUGUAUAUUGAUGUUCACUCUGGUUCAACUGUUUUGCUCUAUUGGACCCAAGUUUGAAGAUCUGUCUCUAUUUCAGGAAAUUCUUCAAGCAAAGUUUUGAAGGAAAAUGGCUUGUCCAAACAGAAUGAAGCUCGUGACAAAUAUGCACUUUUAAUGGAGCUGGAGGACCGCCUGUCCAUUGUCCUCUCAAAAUCUAAGCAUGUUAAAGAUCGAAAAGAAUUUGUUUUGCCAGCCUUAUCAAAGGAUGAAGAUGCAAAUGCUGAAUAUAAUUCUUUAGCCAGAGAUGAGGGAGUAAGAACCAAGUUUAUCUCUAGUGGUGCGUCAUGUGAUGAAGGUGCUCUUGCUGUUAGGGGCAGAGAAUUGGACAAUAUUUACAUUGAUGAAGUGCAAGUGGAAAGAGGAGAUGAUUGAAUAGGAUAACCCCAGCGCCAUAUGACCACUACAUGGUCCUCUUCUCCAUCAUCAUAUGGUAGGCAGCCUUCCCUGCCUGGCAGAAUUUGUCACCUCCUUGCCUGGGCACAUCUGUUGCUUUCCUAGUUGACAGAGGACCAUGUUAUAUUUGGAGCAUUUUCAUAUUGACAACUGUCUUGGCUUUAGAGCAUCUUUGCUUCUUUUUAUUUUAUUUUCCCUAUUUGACCUGAACCAUGCCUUGGACAUAAAUUUGUUUCUUUCCUUCUUCCUAAUUUUGUUCCUACAGAAACAAAGAGCCUUAGUUUUGUUUAGAAUUGCAUAAUUGGGCUAUGUUUGGAUCAGGGAUUUUGUGAGGAAAGGGAAGGAAUGUAAAAUAAAAUGGAAAUCCAUUUUCCAUUUUAUUUUCUUUACUAUAUCAAAUAUUAUUAAAAAUGAAAAUUUGUUCCAAUAUGAUUGAAAUGUAAGAAAAACCAAAUGUUAAUGAUGUUUAAAAUCAAAAUGUUGUUCCUUGAUACUCGAACAUGAAAAGUGAAUUCUUUCAUACUUUCCCUAAUACUUUCCAGGUGCCAAACAAGUGCAUUAGGCUUUCCAUUUGGAAAAGGAUUACAUGGUUUGCAUUAUUUAGAAUUUUUUUUUAAUUGCUGUUUGUUUUCCCUCACUGGAUGAGUCUGACGCUCUUAUAUUCUCUUGGAAUUCAUACAUAACUGUGUUGAAAAUAAUUGAAGCUGAUACAUUAGAUUGAAAUAGCAAAGUUCACUUUUUGGAUAUAUUUGUUAUUUCUCUUCCUGUUGAUUUGAUGAAUAGAACAGCAUGCCUAAACAAUCAAAUAACAGAACUUUAUUCAACUACUAUGAGGUUGAAUAUUUCAUGAGCUUGCUGUGUUUUUAAGGGGCCGGUGGGAAGCAUUAGACAGUUCCUGACUUGCUCUUCAAGACCUGAUGGGAGUAUGAGGUCAGGCUAGAUCAUGGUUGUUAAAGCUGAGCCUCUGAAGGUUUGAAACUGAUGUUUUUAAAACAGCUUAGAAAGGUAAUUCGCACAAAGCUGAGAAAGUAUGAGGCAUGGAGAGUUUGCAGGCGAUAAUGUUAUCUGGAUUUAUUUAAUAUCUCAGUAAAAACUGAUCUUAUUGGAUGGUACCUGGAUAAAAAAUUAAUUCCUUUUCAUAGAGAAAUAUUAAUUCCUCUCUUGACUAGUACCUUAGAUUUGUCUAACCCUCUAGGCUUGGAUACAUUCAUUAUGGCAUUUUCCUAUUCACCUUUAUAGCUGUGUGUUACAUGCUGCACAUAUUUUUUUAACUGCCCAAAAAAGUGGAGUAAUUACCGUAACAAUUGGGUCUGUAUAUUAAGUAAGUUGCCAAAAUAUUAACUUGCAGGAAUGUGAUUUAUUUCUUGCCAUAUAUUAUGUAAGCUAGCUUCUAUAUUUUAUCAAUAUUAGAACAUAAUUUUAAUUAAUUGACAGUAUUGCACUCUAAAUGUUACUUGCAUGGCACUUUGCAUUCUGCUAGUUCUAUGGUUCACUUUUCAAAAUUGCAUCUACUGCUCGCAGUAAAGUCGCUGCCAUUACAGGUAACUGGUUAACUGCAAAAGUGGACAUUUUCAGCAGUAAGAAAUUGUGAACCCUAGAAAUAUGUUUUGCUGGCAACCCUAUAUAUAGUUUUGAUCUGCACUGAAAAAUAAUUCAAUAUAUUUUUAAGAAGAAUCAAGCUCUUUGAUUGGAAACAUGUAUUAUUAUACAUUUUUUACAUUGAUAGAAUGCUUCACAGAAUGCAUCUGUAUUAAUUAGUAAGAAAAUAAAAAAUCUUUGAAAUAUAUAUUUAUUUUGCACUAGCAAAUCAAAACCCUCUUAGAAGAUGGAGCCAUUGGAAAAACGACAAGACAUAAUUACACAAGUAUUUUCAUCAAGUUACAUAACAAGCUGAAUUUAUUUUUUCUCGACAAUCUAUUAUAUUAACAUAGAUGGGAAGCUUUCUCUAAUAUCAUCUAUUGAUGAUGUUGCAUCACGGUUGAAAAUUGAUGUCUGACUUAAAAUUCAUGGAGAUAAAGGACCUGAAAAUGUUGAGACCACUGAAGCUGUUUCAUCCCUAAGAUGAGAAGCAAGGCCAGGCCGAGCAAGCAAUUUUUGUCCACGUGUCUUCUUUCCUUCCUUCAUGAAAGACAUGCCUAGAGUUGCUGAGUUGAUGCUGUUUGACCCUAGCUGCUGGAUGCUCAGAGAAAGCCUUCUAUUUAAGGGGCUUGCAGUGCUAAUGCCUCCAUUUAUGCUCUGGUUUGAAAGUCGCCGAGUGCUGGUGCUUGGCCUGGACCCGAACAAAUUUUCUUGCUCAGCUACUUGACCUUGCACCUUCUUCUUUUCCUGGGGGAAUGGCUACUUCAUCAUAAAUAGACAUAUUAGCAGGUCUACUGUUCUGGAUCGUCUCAAACCUAAAUGCUAGCCUGGUAGAUUGAUUGAGAGCAAAAAAUUGUAAUUACCCGUCCAGGGAGGGAUCGUUCACCGAGGGACAACAGAAGAUGGGUGAAUUCAGCUUCAGAAUCAGCCAACUCUUGAUGGAGGCGAGCUCUUGAAGUAUUUGCAGUGUCAACUUUUCUUCUAUAAACUUCGAGGCACUCUUGUUCAAGAUCUAGUAGGACCUUUUCCCUUUCAAAUUGAUCUUCUCCAACUUCAUCCCAGAUCAUCUGUUUCAGGAAACAAAGUUUGCAGAAGAAAAGCAUAAUAAGAAUCCUGGAGGACUUGUUAUCAACUUAAACAUUCAAAUUCGAUAUCCGAGCAUAUCAUGUAGAGAACAAAACUCGCCUGCAGUUCUUGAAGCAAAUAUCCACACGAAGUUUCCAGCAAUGCUGAGCUUCUCAUUGCCAUGGGUUUCUGGAAUGAGCCCAUUUGAUAGUUCCUUCAAAAUUGAAGGAGCUUAGAGAAGAACCGAAACUCCCGAGAUAGAAGUUCCUGGUAAGCAACUGAAGAUGGAGGGAAAAUGGAAAGAGAUUAAGCAGAAACAGGGAGGGAGAGAGAGAGAAUGAUGGGGUGGGAGCUGUGGAUGAGGUUUUGCUUAAAAGACAAGGCUACAGAGGUGGUUGAUGUUGAAGCUUUGUGUACAAGGAUUGGCUGUUCCUUUUGAUCCUCCUGGUUCUCUUUCCCUCUCAUUGUUUGAAUUCAAUAAAAAAAAAAGUAAUGAAUUUCCAUUUCUAUCCACUGAUCCAAUUCAUAAAUACUCUCAUCUCCUAUUCAGAAAUAAUAUUUGUUCAAUUCCCAUCAUUGUAAAGUCACAAAUAAGCCUUGCAAUAGUACUGCCUUGCUUUCUAAGCAAUGUAUGCCUAAAGGGAAAUUGUGGGUUCAGUUGUAGUGUUAGAAUCUGUAAAAGCAAUGGCUGUCAUGUUGAUCUUUCGAUAGUGUGACAGCCUUCAGGGUGGGAGCAGGCUGUGGUUCAAGUUCAACCUUUAUAAUUUUUCUGCCUUCAUCAUCGACUCAUUUAUCCUUCUGCUCUAAAAUUACAGUCCCCAUCUGCCCACGCUCACUGACCUGGAAGACUGAAAAAGGAAUUUCUUGGUAAAAUUUUUUAUCAUAUUAUUUGUAUUUUCCUGUGGAUGAUCAUAUGUUUGGUUUGUAAUGGAUGGUUAUAGGUUUUUUUUUAAUUCAAUCUUUGUAAAGAUAGCUUUGAGGUUGGAUUUCAGUAGACAUCAUGAUCACAUGAUUUUGAAAGUAGCAUUGUAUCAUCUUCAACUGAACUUGCCACCUUAGUUCACCUUUAUAAUAUGUACAAUUUUAUUACAAUUGAGAAGUCUCUUUCCUGUGAUUAGUCACUUGAAAUUUAAUAAAGGCUCCAGUUU
Malania oleifera is the source of this 5393-nucleotide RNA transcript. RefSeq lists it as uncharacterized. The transcript has 9 exons. The record is from RefSeq and is a predicted model, not a curated record. NCBI's taxonomy places the organism in Eukaryota, Viridiplantae, Streptophyta, Magnoliopsida, Santalales, Ximeniaceae.